Molecule: ribosomal RNA, 324 nt
Filed under: uncultured eukaryote
Lineage: Eukaryota
Description: partial 18S ribosomal RNA
Rfam family: Eukaryotic small subunit ribosomal RNA
Source: RNAcentral
CCCUUAGAUGUUCUGGGCCGCACGCGCGCUACACUGAUGCAUUCAACGAGUUUCUUCCUGGUCCGAGAGGAAUGGGUAACCUUUUGAAAGUGCAUCGUGAUAGGGAUAGACUAUUGCAAUUAUUGGUCUUCAACGAGGAAUUCCUAGUAGACGUAGUUCAUCAGACUGCAUCGAUUACGUCCCUGCCCUUUGUACACACCGCCCGUCGCUCCUACCGAUUGAAUGCUCAGGUGAGCCAUUCGGACUUUCAUCAUGCUGGUUUCCAGUUUUGAUGAAGGAAAGUCUUGCGAACCUUAUCAUAUAGAGGAAGGAGAAGUCGUAACA